Molecule: unclassified non-coding RNA, 117 nt
Organism: Pongo abelii (Sumatran orangutan)
Lineage: Eukaryota; Metazoa; Chordata; Mammalia; Primates; Hominidae
Rfam family: Metazoan signal recognition particle RNA
About the family: The signal recognition particle (SRP) is a universally conserved ribonucleoprotein.
Source: Ensembl
GCUGGGCAUGGUGGCUCAUGCCUGUAAUCCCAGCACUUUGGGAGGCUGAGGCGGGUGGAUCACCUGAGGUCAGGAGUUCAAGACCAGCCUGGCCAACAUGGUAAAACCCCGUCUCUA